GGGACAUUGGCAUUGGAUUCGGGUAAGUGUAACUCCCUUCAGCGGUGGAGGGGGGGGCACUUAACCUGGCACUAGAGAAUCCCCUUAAUUAAAUUUCCCUACAGCUGCAUGGCAGCACUUGUCAUGUAGUACCCAACAGCUAGAAUGUAUGAUAUAUGCCAAGGAAAACAUGGUGGAUCUGAGAAAGCUAGCUAUAAACUAGGAGAGGUUGUUUAUUCAUUGAACUUAGAAUUAUUGCAAUUUAACAAACUAAUGGAAAAAAACUUGUGAGCUGAAAAAAUAAAUCAAAAAGUGGCCUGAAGUACUUUAUGUAUCUGGAGCCUUUCAUAUUUGUGCGAUAUAAUUUGGCAUUUUAUAACUGGGGGCAAAAAGGCUGUUGCUAUUCUACAGCUCACUGAGAAGGUAAUAUAUGAUUGAUCAAUGAGAAGUCUGGUGAAUUCUGCACAUAAUGAAUGCAAGAAAGGGGAGCUUACAAAGGCUGCGGCAGCAGGUCUGCAGCAUUUGCAAACUGUUUUAUAUAUGUACAUACAUACAUCCUUGAAAACACAGAAAAAAUACAUGUUUUCUUUGGGAUAUAUCUAAAAUUGCUUUUAAAAAUAUAAAUGGAUGGAGUGUUCCUUCAAAGUUUACAAUUCAGAAUUUAUUGACUAUCCCUUAUCAUUUUAUAAUGAAAUACUUAUAAAGAAGCUAAAUGAAUGCAUCAAACAUGUGCUAGGCAUCUCUUUUCCUAGAUUUUGUAAAUAAUGGGAAGAAAGCAAUGGUAGAUUAAAAUGAACAUGGAAUAUAAUGUCCAGUGGUCAGGCCUAAGAAAAUUAUAGGUUCCUGGUUAAUUGAUUUCAUUUAGUUAAAUAUAUUUGUCAUUGGUAAGAACAACAUUUCCUAUUAUCCUCCCCUCCUACUUGAGUCCCAGUAUCCAAUCUACACUUAUGUAUAGAAUAUCACAUAGUAACCAGAUAUCAGCUCAGUAUAUUCUGCAUACUUGACCAAAGAUGAGUCCGCGCAUUUAGUGGUGCAAGUAAUAUAAAAAGAAUACCCACGGACAAUUUUAAUUAAUUAUAAUUUGAGGGACCAGCCUGACAACCCAUGCAGCAAGUCAAGAGAAUUUAAUUUGCAAGUCAUAUGUUUAUCCCUGUAACUUUCCAAAACACCAUAAAAUCUGGGCAUGGGGGUAUUAUUGUACUUGGGAGACUUCGCUGAUCACAAAUAUGUGUGUUAAAACAGUAAAACUUAUCACAACGAUAAUGUCACCAGUAAAAGUGCAGUUUUGUCUAAAAACUGCAAAAAACAAAUAUGAACGCUAAGUUUGGCUAGUGUUUGUGACUAAGUGGCUACUAAAACACAAAAGACAUACCCCAUUUUGAAUACCUUGGGUUGGCUACUUUUUCAAAUGGUAUACCAUGGUGGGGUUAAUUCACAUUCCUGGGCUACCAUACCGUCUCAAAGGCAUCAUAGCCAAUCUGGCAAAUUUCAAUUUACAAAAACAGAAAUUGGUAAAUCCUAUAUUUGACCCUGAACUUUCCAAAACACCAUAAAACCUGUUCAAGAUGGGUACUGUUGUACUCGUGAGACAUUACUCUACAUAAAUAUGAGUGUUUUAGAGCAGUGAAAUGUAUAAUACCGAUGAUACCAUCAGUGAAAGGGCAGUUUACUUGUGAAACAUACAAAACAUAUAUAAACACUAACUUUGGGCAGGGUUUGUGACUAAGUGACUACUAAAAAAGACUGGACAUACCCCAUUUUGAAUGCCCUGGGUUGUCUUUUAGAAAUGGUAUGCCAAGAUGGGGUUAAUUUCCAUUCCUGGGCUACCGUACAGUCUCAAAGGCAAUGUAGGCCCAGCAAACCAAUCUGACAAAUUUCAAUGAAAAAGGGGAGGCCCUAUAUUUGACGCCUGUAAGUUUCCAAAAACUCAUAAAACCUGUACAUGGGGGGUACUGUGGUACUCAUGAGACAUUGCUAAAUACAAAAUAUUUUUCAAAUUCAGUUAUGUUUCAUAUAUAAAUAUUUGAUAUAAUAAUUUUGAAAUGAAAGCCAUGUUUCUCCUGAACAACAUGAUAUAUAAUAAGAGGUGAAUUAUGGUUGAACAACAUAUAGCGCAAAUUCCAGGUUUUGUUUAUGUUUUGUUUUGAUCACAACUUGUACAAUUGUCUUCGUCCUUAACCCCUUAAGGACUGAGCCAAAUGUACACGUUUUGAUCAAAAUAAAACCAAUCUGGCGAAUUUCAAUGUGAAAAAACUGAAACACAAGCCUUAUAUUUGACGCUGUAACGUUUGAAAACACCAUAAAACCUGUACAUGAGGGUUACUGUUGUACUCGGGAGAUUUCGCUGAACACAAAUAUUUGUGUUUCAAAACAGUAAAAAGUAUCGCAGCAAUAAUAUUGUCUGUGUAAGUGCUGUUUGUGUGUGAAAAAUGCAAAAAAACACCACUUUUACUGGCGAUAUCAUCGUUGUAAUACAUUUUACUGUUUUGAAACACUAAUAUUUGUGUUCAGCGAAGUCUCCCGAGUAGAACAGUACCCCCCAUGUACAGGUUUUAUGGUGUCUUGGAAAGUUAUAGGGUUAAAUAUAGUGCUAGCAAAUUAAAUUCCCUUUACUUUCGGCAUGGGUUGUCAGGCAGGUCCCGCUAAUUGUAAUUAAUUAAGAUACCUAAUUAUGUAAAAUUAUUACAUAAAUAUAUAUGUAGAAUUAAUAUAUGUAUACAUAUAUACGUAUGUGAAUAUAUAUGUAUAUAUAUAUAAUAUAAUUUUUUUUAAAAUAUUUUUAUUUAUAUAUAGGUAUAUAUAUAUAUAUAUAGUGAUAUAUACGUAUAUAUGUAUAUAGAUAUAUAUAUAUAUUAUCUCAUUCUACGUGUAUUUUGAUAUAAAUAUAUAUAUUAAUAUCACAAUACAGUUAGAACGAAAUAACACACAUCUAUAUAUUUUUUAAUUAUUUUUUUUUAAUUAUUUUUAAAUUUUAUUUUUCUACGUAUUUACAUAUUUAAUUUUUUUAUAUUCUAAAUAAAUAUAUAUAUAACAAUAAUUAUAUAUAUAAUCAAUAUCAGUCUACGUGUAAUUUGAUAUUAAUAUAUAUAUAUAUAAUUAUAUAUAUAUAUUAAUAGUAAAAUACACCUAGACAGUGUAUGUGUGUGUAUGUAUAUGUGUAUAUAUAUAUAUAUAUACUUAGAUCAUAUAUAUAUAUAUGAUCUAAGUGUAUAUAUUUUUUUUUACUUUUAUUAAUUUUAUUUAAUUUUAUUUCUAGCCAGCAGGGGGACCACCUGUCAUUACAGGCAGCCCCCCUGCUGGCAAUGCAGGAGGCAGCUAUCCCGGCCAUGUGAUUGUGAGGUCCUCGCAAGGACCUAACUCUCACAUGGCCGGGGGGCACCGGAGGAGGAGGAUCUGCCGCGGGGGGGCUCCCUGGGAGUCCCCCCAACUGCGACCGCCGGCGACCGGGUAAGUAAGGAAAGACCGGAGGGCGUACUAUUACGCCCGGCGGCGUUUAGAGCCGCCUAAAAUAGGGCGUAAUAGUACGCCCUCCGGUCUUAAGGGGUUAAUCUCAGUUAAAGUGCAGAAAAUGAUUUUGUUUCUCAAAUAUUUCUCACAUUACCUAGAUAAUUUGCACAUUACCUACUAGGCACUAGUUAAUGUGCAAAAAUAUAAUUCUGUCCUCCAUCUCUCUGAAGAGCUCACAGCUCUGGAGGACACCAUGGUGUGUACAGGCUGCUGUUCUGUUCUUGUCUGGAACACAUAGUCACAUACCUCUUCAAACAGUUAUCCCGAACUGGUAAGAAAUAAGGAGCCCCCACCACCACAAGAGAGCAGGCGCUUCCUGCACAUUAUGGAGCAACACCCUGAAAUGACCCCAGCAGAUGCUCUCCACUGUUCUCAAUAUCAUCAUAUAUUUGAAGACUGUCAGAAUCAGUGGUCCAUGAGCAGACCUCUCCUUGGUCUCAUUCUCCACAAUGAGAGAAGUGUUUCUCGGACUUACGGAGCAACAUUGUUAGUAGCCAGUUCCCUCUGAGAAGCAACAAGCCAUGCGUCUAUGCUUUGAGAAUUUGAUGGUGGAGGGCAUUGAAAGGAACUUGCUUACAAAAAGAAUCGAUACAGGUUCACACAGAAUCUUUCUGCCUUCAGACGAGAAGUGAACAACUCUGCAGAGACUGCACUGAAAGGGUGAAACAGGUUCUGCAAGGACGUUUUUUGUAAUAAAUAAUUUCCUCUUUACCGAGGGAAAGAAACAAACUUUUGCACUGAAAGGGUGAAACAGGUUCUGCAAGGACGUUUUUUGUAAUAAAUAAUUCCUCUUUUACAGAGGGAAAGAAACAAACAUUUUGCACUUUAACUAUACGGAAGCAGUUAAUGUGCACAUUACCUAGGUAAAGUGCGGAAAACUCUUGAUUCCGCACUUUAACAGAGCAAAUCAGUUAAUCUGCAGAUUAACUAGGUGAUGUGCACAUUAACUGAAUUCUCACUUUAACUAUGACAUAUAUAUAUUAAUAUUAAAAUACACUUAGACAGUGUUUGUAUGUGUCCACCAAACUCCAAACACUCCUUUUACCCAUCUCAAAUGCCCUAACUCUGCAACCUCACUCUACAACUCCACCCUCUCCUCUCAACUUGACAUCAUGGCACCUCCUACAGUUAAACGCAGCAAGCGCCCCCAACUACAACCCUGGCACACCAAGCUGACCUGUUACCUCCAAAAAUGUUCCUGAACGCUGCUGGAGAAAGUCUCACUUUGCAUCUGACUUUGUCCACUAUAAAUUUAUGCUGCGCUCCUACAGCAUGGCUCUUUCCUCUGCAAAAGUAAACUACUUCAACACCCUCAUAAGCACACUGUCCCAUCAACCCAAACACCUGUUUCACACUUUUGAUGCUCUUCUUCACCCUGUGACUCCCGCUCCUUCCACCACCUUGUCCGCCACAAACUUUGCAUCUCAUUUCACUGAGAAGAUCUCUACAAUCAGGAAAGAGAUCUCUAAUCUCUCUCCUACCCCUAUCAAUACAUCACCCAACCCCACUCCCCCUGCCAUCCUAUGCUCAUUUGCACCUGCUACAGCACAAGUGGUUUCUGCUCUGCUCCUGUCCUCCCGCCCCACCACUUGCUCCCUCAAUCCUAUUCCAUCGCAUCUCAUCUGCACUUUGUCUCCCUCUCUUGCUCUUCCUCUUGCUAACAUUUUCAAUCUCUCCCUUUCCUGUGGCACAUUUCCCUCACCCUUCAAACAUGCAACCGUAAUCCCAAUUCUGAAAAAGCCCAACCUUGAUCCCAACUCCCCAUCCAACUACCGUACUAUCUCGCUACUGCCACUUGCCUCCAAGAUCCUCGGGAGAGUUGUGUACGCCAGAUUGACAGACUUUCUCGAAUCCAACUCUCUGCUUGACCCCCUUCAGUCUGGAUUCCGCGCUGGUCACCCAGUCGAAACUGCUGUGACCAAAGUAUCCAACGAUUUAAUUGCUGCUAAAUCUCGCGGCCAAUACUCUAUCCUAACCCUCCUUGAUCUUUCUGCCGCCUUUGACACUGUUGAUCAUCAACAGCUUCUUCACAUUCUCCGUAACUUUGGUCUACGGGAUACUGCUCUCUCCUGGUGCUCCUCCUACCUCUCCCAGCGCUCUUUCAGUGUUCUUUCUCUGGCUCUGCCUCUUCUCCCCAACCCCUCUCUGUCGGCGUCCCCCAAGGUUCUGUCCUGGGCCCCCUACUGUUCUCUAUCUAUACUGCCUCCCUUGGUAAACUCAUCAGCUCCUUUGGCUUCCAAUAUCAUUUAUAUGCAGAUGACACGCAAAUCUACCUGUCCUCCCCUGGUCUCUCUCCGCCCACCUUGACCUGCCUCUCUACUAUUUCCAACUGGAUGGCUGCUCACUUCCUUAAACUCAACCUGUCCAAAACAGAACUUCUAGUUUUUCCUCCCUCAAGUGCUGCUAGUCCUGUGCCUGUCUCCAUCCAAGUCAACGGCGCUACUAAUACCUCUACCUUGCAGGCUCGCUGCCUAGGGGUUCUUUUUGAUUCUGAACUCUCUUUUACUCCCCAUGUCCAAUCGAUAGCCAAAUCCUGUCGCUUCCAACUCAAGAACAUAGCGCGCAUCUGCCUAUAUCUAACACCGGACGCGGCUAAGGUACUGGUUCAUGCUUUUGUUCUCUCUCACCUUGACUACUGCAAUCCCCUUCUCACCGGUCUUACAUGUUCCCAGCCUGCACCGCUGCAAUCUAUAAUGAAUGCGGCUGCGAGGCUUAUUUUCCUGUCCGGUCGUACCUCCCAUGCCUCCACGCUCUGUCAGUCCCUGCAUUGGCUUCCAGUUAGAUAUAGGGCCCAAUUCAAAAUUCUGGCGCUUGCUUACAAAUCCCUACAUAAUGCUGCUCCAACAUACCUAUCUUCCCUCAUACACAAGUAUGUCCCGUCGAGACCCCUGCGCUCAGCCCAAGACCUACGCCUAUCCUCUGCCCGGAUUCCCACCUCUGAUGCUCGCCUUCAAGACUUCUCCUGGGCUGCACCUAUUCUGUGGAACUCCCUUCCAUCCUCAAUCAGACUUGCACCCAGCCUCCACUCCUUUAAAAAAUCUUUGAAAACUCACUUCUUCAUUAAAGCGUAUCAAUUAAACGGUCAGCAGGUUUCUCAUCCCCCAACCCAUGACUCCUUUCCUGCAACUGUCAAAAAUGACCUACCAAGCACUCAAUAAACCCUUUUCUAACAAACUAUGUAAUUGCCCUACUUUAACCCUUUGUGUCACUAUACCCCACUCCCUCUAGCAUGUAAGCUCAUCAAGCAGGGCCCUCAACCCCCACUGUUCCUGUACGUCCAGUGGUCUGAUCUCAAUUAUGUGUCUGUUAGUCCACCCAUUGUACAGUGCUACAGAAUUUGUUGGCGCUAUAUAAAUAAUAGAAUAAUAAUAAUAAUAUAUAUAUAUAUAUACUUAGGUCAUAUACAUAAUAGAUACUUAGAUCAUAUAUAUAUAUAUAUAUAGUCCCCCUGCUGGCACUGAUAUCGACGGUGUGGCACUCUGCCAAGAUAUCAUCGCCACGGAUACCCUUUUCCCAUAAAAAAAAGCAACUCCCACAGGCAAAAUAUCACUGGUGUAGAAUAACCCCCCACACAUGAGCCAAGGCUAUAUCCUGGGUAAAGACUGUCUUUAAUGGAAGUGCAUGCAUCAUAUUUAUACAGUCCAUAAACUCCUCCUCUGUGCCUGAGAGACAAUUGAGUCAGUAAAUAUACUAAACUCAAUUAUCUCCAGAUACAGAAAAAUUAACAAUUUUGCAACACCCCAAAAUACAGGGAAACCCCACAAAAGUCACAUCCCUGGAUCUGGGCGAACAAUAUAUCCAAAAAUCACCCAGAUCCGUUUGGUAGUUUUAGAUUGCCAUUGCAGGGAAGUUCUGACCCGUCUGUCACGAGGAGUAAGCCUAAAAUAGUUACAUGGAAAUGGUGGCAAGAGCCAGUCUCCGUUCGUGGGGUUUUGUACGAAAACCACAUAAGAUAUAGGAAAACUGGUUCGUGCAGAAUGCUCCGCAUGUUCGGUAGUCUGUAACUCCCGAACGCUGUUAGUCUACUGGAACGGGCUAUAGGUCAAUGGUUACCGGUGUUCGCCUGGCCGAAAUUAGUUCCACGCACUCAAUGACCAAGUUCAGCUGCUAGCGUUCGGGAGAGACGAUGGCCACCAUCCAUUCUUUCACCCACGUGCGUUCGUAUGUACAAAAUGGUGGCCACGUAACAGAGCAUUCUAUUAACCCCUUAAAGACGUCAGGCAUUCUAUGCCGUCCUUCGGGAUCUGGCUCUAAACGCCAGCGGCCGGAAUAGAACGCCCAAGCCAUCCUUUCUGCUUACCUGGUCACCGGCAAUCGUGGUAUGGGAACUUACCUGGGAGCCCAGGGAGUCCCCCUCCUUCCUCUUUGGCCCCCCUAGGUCAUGUGAUCGCGAGGACCUCACGAUCACAUGGACGGCAAAGCUGUCCAUGUCAAUGCCAGCAGGGGGAGUGCCUGGAAUGACAGGUACUCCCCCUGCUGCCUGAAAAAUUUAAAAAAAAUGUUAGUUACAGUUGAAAAUAAAAUAUAUACUUAGAUCAUAUAUAUAUUUAUUAUAUAUAUAUCUACAUAUAUAAUUAUAAAUAUAUUAAUAUCAAAAUCGACGUACAAUGAUAUUGAUUAAAUGUAUAUAUAAUUUUCAUUAUAUAUAUAUUUAUAUAUAAUAUAAAAUAAAUACAUAUGUAAAUACGUUAAAUAAAAAAUAAAUAAAUAAUAUAUAUAUGUGUAAAUUCGUUCUAACUGUAUUUUAAAAUUAAUACAUAUAUAUAUGUAUAUAUAUUGAUAUCAAAAUACACGUCGAACGAAAUAUAUAUAUCUAUAUACAUAAGUAUAUACGUAUAUAUCACUAUAUAUAUAUAUAUAUACCUAUAUAUAAAUAAAUAAUUUAAAAAAUGAUAUACAUAUAUAUACACACACAUAUAUAUAUAUAUAUAUAUAUAUAUAUAUAUAUAUAAUUCUACGUAUAUAUUUAUAUAAUAAUUUUACAUAAUUAGGUCAUUUUAUUAAAGCGGCACUGUCAUGGCUGAAUCACGUUUUUUUUUAACCCCCCCCUCCCAACUCCACUACAUCUAACCGACCCCUUAGCAUGGGCGUAGCAACCGAGGGGGACGGGGGGACUCAUCCCCCCCAGCAAAUCAUGCGGGGGGGACCAGUUAUAGAGAAAUCCCCCCCAACCCCGCCGGCCGCGGGUGCCCUCGGGCUGCAUGCGGCUCCAUCAGGGAACCGCACGCACUGCAGACUGGGAAGGGGAGCACCUCUCCCUUCGCGCAGGAGCAUCGGGUGUCACGUGACUACCCAGCGCUCAGUCUGACACUGCGCCCGCCAGACGUCCAGAGGUCCCCCUGCUAUGUCAGGUAAAAGAGGGGACAAAGGUAGAAAAAUAAUUGGAAGGGUUAAGGGGGGGGGCUACUAAUAUGGAUGGGGGGGAGGGGUAGGUAGAAAAAUAAUUGGAAGGGUUUAGGGGGCUACUAAUAUGGAUGGGGAGGAGUAGGUAGAAAAAUAAUUGGAAUGGUUUAGGGGGGCUACUAAUAUGGAUAGGGGAGGGGUAGGUAGAAAAAUAAUUGGAAGGGGGAGAGGGGUAGGUAGAAAAAUAAUUGGAAAGGGUCAGGGGGGCUACUAAUAAGGAUAGGGGGAGAGGGGUAGGUAGAAAAAUAAUUGGAAGGGUUUAGGGGGGCUAUUAAUAUGGAUGGGAGGAGGGGGGAGGUAGAAAAAUAAUUGGAAGGGGUUAGGGGAGUACUAAUAUGAAUGGAAGAGGUAGGGUGGGUUCUGAUAUGCAUGGAAGGAGUUAGGGGGGUACUAAUAUGCAUGGAAGGGGUAGGUGGGGUUCUUAUGUGCAUGGAAGGGGUAGGGGUGGUUCUAAUAUUCAUGGGAGGGAUAGGGGUGGUUCUAAUAUUCAUGGAAGGGGUAGGUGGGGUUCUAAUAUAAAUGGAAGGGGUAGAGACGGGUAGUAAAAUGUAUGGAAUGCACUUCUGAAAGUGUCACUGAAUGACAGUUAGGAAAUGUGGUCACCCUAAGUCAGGGGCAGUAUUACACAAUCUGUAUAUGUAUAAAAAAAUAUAAAAAGUAAUCUGCAAAGUACAAAAUGUUUGUGUCAUAUGUGGUGCUAAAAAUUAAGCUAGGAAUGAGCAUAUUUUUUUAAAAUAAUUUUUAGAAUAAUGAUACAGACAUUUUAUUUCUUACAUUUGUGACGAUUCUUUUUUCCCCUCUAUAUUCAAGGGACACUAUAGUCACCAGAACCACAACAGCUAAACGUAGUAGAUCUGGUGUCUAUAGCAUGUCUUUUUAAUGUAAGCACUGCCAUUUCGUAAAAAAAAAAGGCAGUAUUUACAUUACUGCUGAGGAAUAUCUCCAGUGGACACUCAGAUGGCCACUAGAGGUGCUUCCUAGUCGAGACAUGAAUGCCGCCCUAUGAAGUAUCUGCGCAUGUACGGCAAAACUGCGCAUGCGCACCAGGGAGCAAUGACGCUUCUGAAUAGAAGCUUUUUAUUGCUCCCUGCUCGCACCCUCCUAUUUCGUCAUUUUGACGAAAUAGGGGGCGCGGCAUCAGGAGGAUCCCGGCACUGUAUCCAGGUAAGUAAAACCCCUUCCCUGUAGUGACCCUUUCAUGUUAUUAUUUUAUCAUUUAUAUAGCGCCAGCAAAUUCCGUACAAUGGGAUAAACAACUCCUAGUUUACGGAAUAAGAAUAUACCCGGCGAGUAAAAAUGCUAUCCCCCCCAGAUUUUUGGGGGUUCCUAUGCCCAUGCCCCUAAGUCACCCCUAAAUGCCCCAAGCCCCCCAUAUUACCUAUUUUUAAUCUUUAUUUUCUGCCCCGAUCUAUAUUCAAGGUGCCGACAUUUUUGUGUGGGUAGAUGAAAUCCCUGUGGGACACGUCAUUUGCCCACACUAGACAGACUGUGAGAUUCCCGCACAUGCCCAGAAACACUUGGACAGGAAUUUCAUCCAUUCAUUCGUCAGAAAGAUGAAUGAAUGACUAGGAAUUUGAGACGAACAAACUAACACUGAAUAUCAGUGUUUGUUCGUUCAUUUAGUUUAUUACAAGGAGGGAGCUACCGGCACGCAGCUCCCUCCUUGUAAUAUGUAAAGAUAGAAGCGGCAGGAAGCAUUGCUCCCCGCCACUUCCAAAGCUCCCCCAUGUCCUCCCUCACUCUAUGGAAGUCAAUAUGACUCCCAUAAUAGCAUAAGGGAGAUUAAAAUCUCACCGAUGCCCCAUCUCACUAUACUGUGAGUAGGGGCAUAUCUACUAAACAGUGAGCUGCUCACUGUUAAAAAAACAAACACCCUAAUAGGCCCCCCUGCGUGGUGGGUGGGAGCCCUAAAUAAGAAUGUGGGGGGGGGGCUACUGUCCUCCCCUCUCAGCCCCCACCCCUGCGAGGUGGGUGGGGGCCAUAAAUCAUAAUGGGGUGGGAGGGACCUUCUGUCCUCCCCCACCCCUGCACGGUGAGUGGGGGCCAUAAAGAACAAUGAGUGGGGACCUACUGUCCUUUAUGGCCACCACCCACCGUGAGCGGUGGUUGGGGGCCGUAAAGGAUAAUGGAGGGGUGACCUACUGUCCUCCCCCCCAGCCACCAUCCCUGCGCGGUGGGUGGGGGCCAUAAAUCACAUUGGGGUGGGGGAGACCUACUGUCCUCCCCUCCCGGCCCCACCCCUGCACGGUGGGUGGGGGCCAGAAAUCACAAUGGGGUGGGGGAGACCUACUGGCCCCCAUGCCUGCACGGUGGGUGGGGGCCAGAAAUCACAAUGGGGGGGAACCUACUGCCCUACUGUCCUGAACGGUGGGUGGGGGCCAUAGAGGAUAAUGGGGAGAGACCUACUGUCCUCCCCACCGGUUCCCACCCCGGAGCGGCGGGUGGGGGCCCUAAAUGACAAAUUCCCCAUCCCCCCUUCAAAGGUGACUAGGGGUCCCCAAGCCCCUAGUCACCCACUCCCCCACACAAAUAAAAACUACCCCCUACCUACCUCCCUCACCCUAUAAAUAGUGAGGGGGGAAUAAAAUAACUAACCUGUAAAGAAAAAUAACACUUACCAUUUGAUGUCUUCUUUCUUCUAAAAUCUUCAAAAAAAACCCAUAAUACCCGUCGAACUUAAAAUAAAUUAAAAAAAAAACGACGGGAAACAAAAAACCAGACACUAAAAAAAUUAAUCCAUCUUCACCCAUAGAGGGCUCUGCGCAGACUGAGCUCUACAGGGCGGGGGAAGGCUUAUAAAGCCUUGCCCUGCCUUGCAAUUAGGCUAAGAACACUCUGAUUGGUUGGUUUAAGCCAAUCAGAGUGCUCUGUGUCAUUUUACACAGCGUGGGAAAGUUCUUUGGAAUUUUCCCAUGCUGUGUAAUUUGAGUCAUAACAUUCUGAUUGGUGGACUUGAAAUCCAUCCAAUCAGAGUGCUCUGUGUCAUUUUACACAGUGUGGGAAAGUGAGAGCAUUUGUUGCCACUUACCCUGUUCUUAAAUAAAAAAUAAUGGUUGGUGUGACGGAAUACCCCAUCACUUGUGAUUAUUUACGCGUUCAUUUCUCUUUAACCCCUGUUCGUUUCUCGAGCAGAGAUUUACAUCCCCCUUUUAUAUUCCUGAGACCCAGACCACCCACUGGCUUAUUAACCUCAAAGAAUGUGUUUAACUCGAGUGCUCUCCCUGUGAGGUCGCCAUUUGUAUAACUGAACAUGUGCUCUUUGGAAUGGCAGCCAUCUUGUCUGCUGAACGCAGGCACCGGUACUUUGUCGUUGACGGCAUAGAGCUAAAUUCGGACUCUGAACCAUCACAAAUCCCAGUGAACUUAUACUGCCGCCUGCUCCUCCUACAGACAAGCCAGGAGAGUGCUCUUUGGGGAAAAGACUCAGUGAACUACAAGGAACAUUCGCUCCCCAAGAGCCAGGGGGAACAUUUGGUUGUUUUCAUGAAGGAACCCCCAGAAGUUGACUUUACCCUGGUGGCGAUUUAGCUACACCGAACUGAUCUGAGCGCUAUUUGGACAACUUGGGCGCUCAGAUCCGACCUAUCCGGGGAUGUAGGACAUUUAGGAUUCCUAGGUAGAAUUAAUGGGGUUUUGGGGUGUUUUGUGUAAAAUUUUAUGUAUCCCUAUAACUGGAAGAUUUUGAAUUACCAGACUUUUGACUCAAUUAUCUCCCAGACACAGGGAUGUCUGGGAGGAGUUUAUGCUGUUUUGUAUGGAGACUCCAUGCUGGGGGUCUGUGUAUAAAUUCUAAGUGCUUUGACCGAAUAAAUCAGAUCUACUCCCAACAUUAGGUCUCGGCUAAUAUAUGGGGGGAAAGCUAUACCAGCUAUAAUCACUAUUGCGGUUGGAUAGAGCUAUUUCACAUUGGGAAAGGGAACCCAUGGCGGCAAUACUCUGGUUGUCCGCCACAGCUGAUUUUGGUCCUUAGUACUUAUGGAUCACAAGCCCUGCUUUAUGUGGUGGACUGCCCUAGUAUCACCGCCAUGGAUGCCCUUUUCCCAAUAAAAUAAACACCAAUAAUCCAUGGAGUGUAAUGUCUCCGGUGUCGCAUAACCCCCCACACAUGAGGCAAGGCUUGAUGCUGGGAGAAGACUGGUUUAUUCAGGGAAUCACAUGGCCUUUUAUGCAAAAGCCCCAAUAUGGGCUUUCUUACACAGAAAUGCAGGGAAAUCCCUCCCAGGAACCUCUGUGCCUAAGAGAUAAUUAUCUCUCAGGGACAGAAAAUCAUAACAGUUUUUAACUGCUCCAAACGUACCCCUAAAAACAUGGAAACCCCACAAAAGUCACAUUCACGGAUAGCUGAGAUAUGGGCGAACACUAUAUCCAAAAAUCACCCAGAUCUGUUCAGUAGUUUUGGAUAAGUUAGAUGAAAGCGGAUCAGUGUAGAAUGCUCCCCGUGUUCAGUAGUUGAUACCGCCGAACGCCAUUCGUGUAGGUGUAGUGGAACUGGAAUGGGCAGCAGGUGUUCGUGGGAGUGCCUGGCCAAAAUUAGUUCCAGGCACUCGACGACCAAGUACUGCUGCUUGCGUUCAGGAGACAAGAUGGAGCAUUCUAUUAAUUAGUUCCAUUGCGGUUUUCGUACAAGAUACUCAACGUUCCAUGUUCUAAUGGGUCUCUGGGGUGGUCUUUGUUCGGGAACCAAACCAAAUAAACAAAUAAAGUUAAACAUGAAUCCGUUACCGCGAAAGGAGACAAAAGUGAUGGGGUUAUUCCUUCACACUUUAGUUUAAAAAGCUAUGUUUAACCCCUUAAGGACACAUGACAUGUGUGACAUGUCAUGAUUCCCUUUUAUUCCAGAAGUUUGGUCCUUAAGGGGUUAAACCAGUUCUCUAGUGUUAAAGAUGAUUGCAGAAAUGAAAUGCUGUGCCCAAGAUGGACGCUAACUGAUGUCUGACUAGUGAUAUGUAGGUGAUAUACAACACUAUAUAUAUAUAUAUAUAUAUAUAUAUAUAGUUAAUGAAGCAGCUUUCAGCAGGUUCUGAUUUUGUCGGUAUUCCUAGUCAAGAAGACAGAGAAGUAUGUAAGCUAGUGUCCUCAUUUGUCCUAGUCUAUUUGCAUGUAUAUGUGUUCCCCAGACAUGUGGAUGACAAGGGACACUCAAAAAGGAAGUCUCACUUCUCUAGAAUUUACACUAGGGGUAGGCAACAUUUUAGCAGCACUGUGCCGAUAUAGGAUUGUGAUGUCCUGUAGCGUGCCGAUCCUCAGGCCUGUCACCACCAGGCAAGCUAACCAAGCAAUUGCUUGGGGCCCCGAGCUGGCCUGGGCCCCCAAGCAGGGCCGGCGCUUCCUAUAAGGCUGCAGCCGCCUGGGCCCCCAAGCAGGGCCGGCGCUUCCUAUAAGGCUGCAGCCGCCUGAGCCCUCUAUAGAGAGCCUCAGGCGGCUGCAGCACUGCCUCUCUCAUCACCUCCCCUUCCCUGUAGCGAGCUCUUCUUCCUCCUGUCAGUCCAGGAGAUUCAGUUUGAGCUCGGCCACGCUACAAGGAAGGGGAGGUGAGAAGAACAUAGGGAGGGGGGAGUAAAAGAACAUAGGUGGGGGAGCAAGAAGGAUACUGGGGGAGGGGAGUAAUAAGGACACGGGGAGGGGAGUAAAAAGGACACGGGGAGGGGAGUAAGAAGGACACAGGGGGAGGGGAUUAAGAAGGACACAGAGAGGGUGGGAGGGGAGUAAGAAGAACAUGGGGAGGGGGAGAGUAGUAAGAAGAACAUGGGGGGAGUAGUAAGAAGAACAUAGGGAGGGGGAGGAGUAAGAAGAACAUGGGGGCAGUAAGAAGAACAUAGGAGAGGGGAGGAGUAAGAAGAACACAGGGAGGGGGGAGGAUUAAGAAGAACACAGGGAGAGGGGGGCUGAGGAGAUGAGGAGAACACAGGGAGGGGGGAGGUGAGGAGAAGGGGAGAUUAGGAGAAUACAAGGAGGGGGGAGGUGAGGAGAAUGGGAGAUUAGGAGAACACAGGGAGGGGGAGGUGAGGAAAAGGGGAUAUUAGGAAAAAACAGGGAGGGGUGAGGUGAGGAGAAGGGGAGAUUAAGAGAACACAGAGGGGGUGAGGAGAAGAGGAGAUUAGGAGAACACGGGGGGGUGAGGAGAAAGGGAAAUGAGGAGAACACAGGGAGGGGGGUGAGGUGAAGGGGAGAUGAGGAGAACACAGGGAGGGGGGUGAGGUGAAGGGGAGAUGAGGAAAACACAGGGAAUUUUCAAUUGUUGAAAAUGUUCAAAUUUUAUGCACAUUAUAUGCAACAGCAGUAUUUGCACUGUAAACAUUUUUUAUUUAUGCACAGUAUAUGCAACAGCAGUAUUUGCACUGUAAACCUGUUUUAUUUAUAUGAAGUGUGGGUGAACUUAAACUGUAUGGCUAUGCUGUGGUUCCUGUAGGCUUUGCGUGUGUGUGUGGGGGGGGGAGGGGGGGGGCACCUUCAUGUCCAUUUUGCUUGGGGCCCCCAAAUUCCUUCAAACGGUCCUGCCGAUCCUAUGUUUUUAAAUUGAGGUGUGUGUGCUGCCGUAUUCUGCUUGUGUUAUUUAUACUGUAAUUGCUUUGUAUCGUUGUAUUUGUGCGUAUAUGAGCUAUUAUAUGUAUAUGUUCAUUAGUAGUUUAUGGUAUCGUGUAUGAUACAUAUGAAUGUGGGCUAUGUAUGAGGGCUGCUUGUGGAAUUGUGUGUGGGUGGAUAUGUCACAUUGUGUGUUUGGUAGUGUAUGGGGGCUGUUUGGGGUUUUGCAUGUGAGAGGCUGCAUGUGGGAUUGUGUGCAUGUAUGUAGAUUGUUAGUGGUGUUGCAUUUGUGGGGAUUGUGUGUAUGUUUGUGUGUGGGCUGUUCGUAUUAUUUGUAUGAGGGGAGGCUUAUUCUGCAGGUCUGUGUAUAUCUAGCAGUGUGAGUGGCUUCCCUGGGUUCCAGUGGGGACCAGGCUGGCCAGGUACAGGUCAAGGACAGGAGCUGCAACAUCAGCUGUGGGCUGCUCUACUACAGUGUGGAUUCCCAUUCACAAGUGCUGGGAGGAAUUGAUCUGAGAUCACUUCCUCUAAGUGCUGCAAUGCAUAAAUUGAGGAUUGUCCUUCACUACCUCUUUCUAUUAGCAGAUAUCUGAAGUUUCACUGAGACUCCUGAUAGGGCAGACCCUGUUUGGCUCUAGCAGCCUUGAGUGCCGUGGAAAGACACCUCAAGUGCCGUGCAUGGCACUAGUGCCGUAGGUUGCCUACCCCUGAUUUACACCAUUGCAUACCUCCCAAGUGUUUCUAUUUAGGGGAGACAAACCCUAUUUUGUGCCCAAAUCACUAUGUCCAUCUUUUCUAGGCAUUCUAUAUUGUUGGUGUUUGAGUGUAUACCAGAGCUUCACUGCAAUAAUAAUAAGUCAGUAAUGUGUCUUUAAGCUACAAUAAAUGUGUUUAUAAAUCUGUGUAUUUAAGAUGCAUUGUUCCUGUUUCAUAUGGCAUGAUAAUUCCAUAAAUUGUGAUUAGAACCUAACCUUAACUUGUCCAGGCCUGUCCAUGACCAUAUACUAAACACACCGCUAAAAUUGAAGUGUCAAUAUUUUGCAUUUGAAAUGUUGAGUGGUAUGCCAUGGUAUUAAUUGAAAAUGAUCUAGUCUUUAACUUGUGUUAAUGUUUUGUUUUCACUAGAUACUAUGUUUUCUUUUAAAUGUAUAUUAAUGAUUUAGCAUUCAAAUUAUGAGGAGUAAUAGAAACACUGUUUCAUUUCUUCUCUUUAUAUGAUUUCUCUAUGAUGCCUGCCUGGUGCAAAGAGUGUAUAAAAAUGAUUGCUGGUUAAAGAGGUACAGAUUUCUACUUGUAAUUAUAUUUUGUUCUCUAUUGAAAUAUAUUUCUAUUUUCCUGAUAAUUCGCACUGUGGUGAAUAAUCCUGUUAGUGUUUAGUUACUUCUCUCAUUCACUUCUUUAGAAACUCCCUGGCCAUCCCACCCCACCAUCAAAUAAAACAAGAGCAGUUAUUUUUUUAAUUGCAGUCACGUUUAUUUGCAGCUUCUAUACACACUUUCUAUGUAAUCAAACUUUUCUGACACAUUUUUGAGGGGUUCACAAAAGAAAUUGUCACCAUUUUUACUAAAAAAUAAAUACAAGACUUAAAGUGUUGCACAGCUCUAAAAUAUACAAAGGCUUAGAUUUAAUGUAAACUCUGAAAACAUUUUACAAAAGAAACCAUCUUUGCAACAAUUUAAAAAGUUCAUAUUUACAGAUAUUACAAAAAUACAAAUGGAUGCAAGUCCACUAACCAUAGUCGUUUCCUCCCACGAGUGCCAUACUUACAUUAAAAGAGUAACACUGUAAUCUCUUUUCUGUAUGUUAUAUCACAUCAACCUUUCUAAGAUAAGUUGUAAAUUGUGAUUCAACCCUUCAGUGGCUAUUGGACUAGCAAUGCAUUGGGGUCUAUGCACUAAGCUUCAAGUUAUGGUGACUCUAGAAUACUUGCAAAUUUAAAGCCAAAUUAGCAGAGUUGGCAGUAAUAUUCAACUAAGCUAGUUUAGCAUACAUUUCUCAAGAUGUGUUUAAAGUCACUAGAACUUGCUGUUUAGUUAAUAACUCUCAGUGUAACAGAAUGCACUUGAUUGCUUAACUAGUGGGUAUUAAGACAACUUGCUUCCAGCAUCUGGCAUGAAAUCGGUCACUAAUGCAGCAAUUUAUACCGCAAACCUAAUGAUUUGGCAAGUACUUUUCUGUUCACUAUUCCUUCUCAUCAUAAACCUGCUUAAACAUAAAGUCAAAUAGAAAUGUUAGAAGGAAAGGAAAAAACAGUUAUGUUGUUAAAAAAAAAUUAUUUAAAAAUCUGUUUCAUCAGUGCAAACAGAACGUUAAUUUCAAAGGAUGGUGAACAAGCUUGAAAUAGGCAGUCACUGGGAAUCACAAGCAUGGGUCCAGAGCUCUUUUAUACGUUGUCUACUUUGGGAAUAUCUCAAGACUUGACUGCCGUGACAGAUUUGCUCCAGUUAAGAUCCAAAACACUUAAAUAUGUUUUUCAAAGGAACACUCCACAGCCCAAAUACAAAAUAAAUUAAAAAUUACUGUUUAGUAUAUACACCCAAAAUGAAAACAAGCAUGCAUUUAAUUAUAAUUUUUUUCCCUUGGGGGUAUAUCUAAAAAAACAGCUUGAAAAAGGUGCAGAUCUCUUGUAUUCAGCAUUUGCAAGCCCUCCUCUUUUUUCUAAUCACAGACUUCCCAAUGCAGCUCAAUGAGACGUCUUUGCAAGUCAGGUGCUCUGAGCAAUUGCUGCCUCAUGAGUUUAGCUCCACUGAGCUAACCAAACCAAGAGGUAACAGCACCUGAUGUCAAGGGGGUGUAAUCAGAUUAAUUUAUAAAAGUGUCAACUUCUAUUGAAAUCAGAAUUGUUUUUUUUUUAAAUCACACAUAGAGCUUUCCAGCAAGCUAAAGUGCUUUAGGGGUCUGGAGUGUCCCUUUAAUUGUUGAACUUUUCCUAGUUUUGUGUUAAAGGAACACUCCAAGCACCAUAACUAUUACAGCUUGCUGUUGUGUUUAUGGUGCCAGGAGUGACACAGAGACAUCCUACGGUAAUUUGUCAAACUGUUUUAGUAUACUUGGGUCCCCAUGACGCCCAUGCUGCAUCCCCUCUUCUCCUGCAGGAGAAGCAGGAUGUCUCAUGACAGCUAAGCAUGGCCAAUGCAGGCCUGUGCUCAUUGGCUGAGAGUGCUUAGCUCAUACUUAAUGCAGUACUGCAUGGUCCUGUUUAGCUCAGUAGAGGAGAAUCCUAAAAGCAGUUAAACAAAUUAAACUGGGUUAGCAACAGGACACUGCUGAUACCAUAACCACUACAAUUGGUUGUUUUACUUGGAGUGUUGUUUAAAGCAUUGUUAAAAGAGAUUUGCUGAGAAUAAAGACAUUAAAAUAAUGUCCAUAUUUUUGUUUAUAUUUUCAAACAGAAUUCCUACAAAGAAUUUCUUAAAAACGAUGCUGCUAUCAUUACCUAUAUGGCUAGAGGAUUUGCGGUUUGUACUUGAAGUCUAAGCAAAAGGAACUGAAAUAUGUUUCUCUUUAACUGGGUAUGUUCUAACCUGCAAUGUUAUUGUUUGCCUUGUUUAUGAAGUUUAUUCACUAAACUGGAAAUUGUGAACAUUUUUAUGGGAUUAAACAUUUUAGACAGAAUUUGCAAAAAUCUUCAUGUCAGCUUUUUUUCUAGAAAUCUUUCAAUUCACCAGUUAAUUGUCUACAAUUCCUAGUUUAGUGAAUAAACUCUGUAUAUUUUCAAAUAUACAUUUGUCGAUUUUCAUGAAUGCAUGUACCCCAUGAAGGAAUAUUUUCAUAAGCACACUCAAGACACAAUGUUAUUAAGCACCUUGCACCUCUCCGUGUCUUGGUCUCUGCUAGGAAAAAAAAUGUACAUCUUAUGGUAUAUUAUGGAAGCGUACUUAAAGCUGCCCAGUGCAUUACGGCAUAAGUUUUCAAUACAUAUGUACUUGGCAUAUUUGAAAAGCAAUAAAUAAAUACCAUAUGUCAAUAUAAUUAUGUUAAGUCGAACAUUUUUUCUGUAUGAUUAUUGACCCCACCUCUCAAAAAAGUACCACUAUAGGAUGAUGUCUUCUCUGGUUUCAUUAUGUUACUAGCUUUAUUUCUGCUACUUAGGUAAAUAAAUUGAAUUUAGCACUACCACAGUUAGUUAUAUUCACAGUAAAGGGCUGUUAAGAUAGAGCUUGAAAACUCUCUCAUAUUUUGAACUUGAUUCUUGAAACAGAACAGUCAAAAACAAACAUUUAUAUGGCACUUGCAUGGAACAGAAAGUUUAAUUGUGCUACUUAAGGCUGUGCUUAAACAUAAAAUUCAUUAUAAAAGUGUUGACAGCAAAUUGCAUUAACAAUUAAUAGUCAAAAUACUAUUAGAACUCUUGAAAAUGACCAGUGUUUUAGUUAGAUUUCGAAAUCAUGGAGAUUAGCAUCAGAAUUUAUAAGGUUAUCACUUGUCCUUGAUUUAUGUGUGAUGUGAGAUGCCCUGCAUAAUAUUCAGAAGGGUAAAAGCACAAAGUGAUACCGCAAGUAAUGAUUACCUUGAUUUGCCACAUUAUCCUUUAGCACCAGUUUUGUACCUGUCAAAAUAAUGGUGUCAGUGAUUUUUAUAAUGUACAAAAUAUGUAUUAUAAGGCCUGUUAAACAGAAUAGUUUAGGUAUCAUAACAUUUGAGGAAGGCUAGCACCUUUCAGUAUGAGACACAUACCCAACCAGUUGGUCCACACACACACACAUACAUAUAUAUGUAUAUCAAAAGCAGUCCUGUGCAACACUCGUGCAAAUGGACUACUGAGUGUGCAUAAAGAUGAUGCACACAUAGGAUCUAACCAAGUGCUUACUAAUGACAAGUUGCACCAUAUUUCAGAUGACAAUUGUGGCCAUUUGAGGAACUGAAAGAUGUAAAAACUAAAAACAAAACGUUUGUGUUGUUUUAAAUUCUAUAAAUCAAACCUGGGGGUAACAACUGUUAAGUAGUUAAGUGUGUGUAGUAACAUUAUCAAAGGUAGUGAGGCAGAGAAGUAAUUAACAUCACGCAAAAUAUUGCAUAUUUAAUACUUAUAUGAGCUGAUUUUCUAAAGCAGAAAAUAACAUUUCAGUUAAAUUGCAGGCUGGGUAACUACUGUUUCAUCUGGUUAUCACUUUAAAAAUAUUAGUAUGGAUUAAAGGGACUCUCCAGGCACUAGAUCAUUAGUGGUGUUUUGUUGUUUUUGCACGCUCAAUCUUGUAUACAUUUUGCAAACACUACAAUAAAUGUUUGAAAGCACACUACAAUUUAACCCUGCCUCGUUUAUGCUCAGUCUCAACUUUCCCAUUCUAAAAUAAUUCCUUCUUGCUUGUUACUAUAAACAAUCUGUUGCCUUGAAAGAACUCUAGUGGCAGUCACCCAGAAAGCCACUAUGGGAGCUACCUGUCUCAGUGCAGUACUGUGUGAGUAAAAUCACAGAGAACUAGGGCAGACACCUAAACAGCCAUCCCAGCACUAUAAUAUAUACAGGUUUGUAUUACUAACACUAUAGUGUUCCUUUAAAUGAGUAGCAUUGUUUUCCACAUAAAAAGCAUGCAGUAACUUGUUCUCUCAUAUGAACAGUUUUUGAGGGAUGGAGCAUUUAUAAAGAUGUAUAUUAUUUAUAUUCUACCUGUUUCAAAAGGGCAUUCUUUGUUUCAUCCCAGCAUAACCAACAGUAAUGCUUGCAAAUUACAGCCUAAACUAAUCUUCAGUGCACAGUAAUAGGACUGAAGCAGUCUUGAGCUUACAGACACACGUAUUUGCAUAUUUCAACUACUGCUCCUAUCAACACUGAAAGCAUCUGUCUAAAAUAAUAUAUUUCGUUUUAAGAUUUGCUAUCCUUUUAUAAUUAUUCAUUAUACUGUACACAUGAGUAUCAAAGCAUUUUGUUACUCUCAUCUUUAAUCUCGCAAAAAUAUAAUAUGUAAUUAGCACGUUAAAGAAAUGAUAUCAUUAAAUAUCUAUUAUACGGCCUCAAUCCUGUUUUGCAUUAAACAGUGCCUGACACUGAACGCUAACCUAAAUGUCUUACGGACUUGGAUUAAAAACCCAUAACUAUUGCAAGGGCAAUACAUUUUAUUUAGCAUUUAUAUAUCUGGGUGAGGAAAGUAAUUGUAACUAAGGACCCUGAAUUAUAAAAACCAGAAACACAAAAUAUUUUAAGCUAAUCUGAAAUCUGAUAUAGAUAAAAGAUUUCAUAGGCUGAGUUCAGGUCCCAAAAUGCAGUCCUGAACAACAAACAGGUACAAUAUCAGUAUCUCUAUCGAUCACUCAAUUAGUCAAGCUGUAAUAUUAGUUAGUUAGACAAAGUACUCUAAAUGGUCAACAAAACAGAUAUUUAAGUAGUAUUAAUACAAUUUAAAGAAGAUGUAAUAACUUUCUUUUCAUUGUCUAAGAAACCCAUUAAGAAAGUUAAUAUAUUCUGAUAAUUAAUUCUGACUGGACAUAAUGACAGCUGUCCAAAUUUUCUAUUUAUGCUCAGGAAAGAUAGAAAGAUUUUAUUGGUUGUGUGCUGAGAAAAUUACCAACAUUUUGCAGGUACAUGGGAAAAUAUUGAACAAUUAAGCACUGCACAUAUUCAUGUAAAUUAAUUGGAAAUUCAUGAUCUUUUGGUUAGGUGAUGUCUAUUAUAUGAUGCCAUAAAAUAAGUUUUACUUUUAGCAAUAAAAUAAAACUAUUCAUAUGUUUAUACUUCUAAUUUCUUAAAUAUAUAUUUAUAUGUUCUUGACAUGAUCUUUUUUGUACAUUUCCCCCCCAAAAAAUUAUAAAAUAUGUUUAGGUGAUCAAGCUCUGUAAAAUCAAUGAAUGGCAAUGGAUUUAAGUACAUUAAACAAAUAUUAUCUUGGCCAUUUUAUACCAGUUAAGGUAAUGGUUGUCAAAUUAAUCUUAAAAGAGAAUCACACAAUGAUAUUUAUCAAGCUGUAGAUGAGUCAAAAAUCUCAAGUAUUUCAGUUGACUCAUGUUGAGAAGAAUAAUAGCUAUUAGAUUGUGACCUUGUUAACACUCUUUUUUUUUUUUUUUACUUUUAAAUUGAUCAGCAAAAUAUCUAACAGUUGAACAGAUGAUUAGAUACUUGUAUUGAUACAUGUAAAUGUGGUUAGACCCAGUCAUACGUGUGUUCUAUCAUUAUAGAAAAGGCAGCUACAUCAAUUAAUAUUCUUCUUUUAAAUGUAGUAAUUUCAAUAACAACAAAUACAAGACUUUUAAUAACAUAAUUAUGGACUGUUAAUAGCUUAUAGUGAAGGUCUGAUAAUGUCUUUAUAUGUAGUUGAGUCUAGAGGAAUGCAUGGCUGUGGCUGGGACUACUAUGAAUGGCUGAUUUGAAAAUAAUUAUUUACUAUGCGUGCAUUUCUUUUUAUAAUGUUAAAUCAUAUUUAAUUGAACAUCUCCAUUUUUACUCCUAACUUUGGGGGCAAUGACUGGAUAAGAACACCAAGGUCAGAAAAGUGUGGUUUUAGACUGUCAAUUCUACUCAAAGUUGGAUGGGCUAAUGAGGAGGUUAAUUUCCAGGUUAACUAAGAGGAAGGCCAAGGGAUAAGCUGUAAAUGGUGUUUGAAAACAGUUUGGACAGGACAUUCAGAAGGUUUGCACCACGACAACUACAUUGAACAUGGUGGUUAUGGUGAAUAUAGUGUGCCUAACAUUCUAUUUAGGAGCAAGCAAAUGAGAUUGGUCUUCCUAGCACUGCACUUGUUUUAAAAAUAACUGUUACCUUACUUAUAUUGAAGAUAAUAAUUGUGAUUAAAUAUUGCACUAAUUGGUAAAAUACAUAAAAGUGCAUUGAUUAGCAGACUGCCAGUUUUAGCAGGAAGAAACCAAAACACUUCACUGACAUGAAAAAUGCCCUUUAGUUUGCUCGUUUGAAAACUACAAUAUAUAUGUCUAAAUACACCACCCUGUGCAAACAAAUCAUUAUCCUAUCAUAUGUAACCCUCAACACUCAAUCUACACAUACAGUCACACACAAGCAGUCUGUACAUAUUAUAGAGCAGGGGUGACCAACAGCUGUUGUGGGGCUACAGAAUAAAGUAUGUGUUCCAUACUUCCACAAUUCAUGUAGGUUAGACAAUUAGACCAAAUGCAAAAAGGCUGGCAAAAUAUCAAGGCAUUUAACAUCCUACAAUAACUGGAGAGAUACUUAUUGGGCACCCCUGGCAUGAUGGCAUAAAAUCCAACCUCUCAUCUCUAUAUACAUAAAACUUGCAACAACUGAAAAACACUUGCAAUUUUGCCUUCGUUUAACCACUCUCACUACAUUUCAAUAACUUUAUUAUUCCUUUAAAAUAAUCAGAAUCUAGUAUCCUAGUUAUAAAUUAAGGAACAGAAAACCGCAUCCAUCUAAUCUCAGUAAAUGACAAUUGAAUCUUGUUUUAUACAUAUAUAUUCACGCUAUUGCCUUUUCAGUGUUUUGGGCAUUUAUAAUUAUCAAUGCAGUAUAGAGAAAAUUAAUGUAUGGAUAGAUAAUCAUAUUGAUACUCAUUUACUCAGUAGAAAGUGAAUUUGGGGGCUGCAGAGAUGAAGACAUUUUUCAUCUGAGCUGUAUACCCAGCUUGGAUAUUUUUGUGAAUUUGAAUUUCAGUUUCCAAAAUCCACCAUUUUGUUAAUUAACCCAUUAGCAUAACACAUAUAAUAUUGAUGUGGUUUCCCUUUAUUUCUCCUAGAAAAACUUAAAUGCUUUAAAUUUUAACCUGGAAUGAUGAGUUAGCGGCUGACCAGACGAUGCAAAAUGCUUGCAUGAAAAUACAUGCUUUGGAAAAUAGCUUUCGUUGCUGCCAUAUAUAGUGAUAUUAAUCAUAUACUGUAUGUCCUUCAUUAACCCUUUUGAAUGCUGGAGAAGCAAGAAAUAUAAAUAACGGUACUUUCAGUCACAGGAUCAUGUAACAAUAAUUUUAUAUUGGGAUGUAGUGUACCCACAUUAGUACACUUGGCAUUCACUCAUUUAACAAUUUAUUAGACUGUGCAUACAGUGUUACUGUGGUUAGAUACUGAAUGUCCAUUGUGUUGAUACCCAUACCUCUGCUCUUGGUUUAACAGCUGGGCUAAGGAGAAAUAAUUCAAUGUCAGAAAGGGAAGUUACUAUUUCCUGACCUUUUUUAAAGGGUGUCCUUACCUACUUCAAGGCCAGAAACAACCUAAUUUCUGCUUGGUACUGAACCUUUUACCGAGGCCAUUGGAGGUGAUUUUUAGGUGUAGAAAAUAAAAAAAGAUUCCAGGUUUGAUAAUAUCUCAAACAAGGUAACUGAUCAGUGCCCUAGAGCACUGUCACAUACUUAUGAACAUCUGCCAUCACUUUGUGUACCAAAAAUAACCUUUCCAGUUCAGUCAAAGCCAAACCAUGCCAUACACAUCCCUUUCAACUUGCUGAACUCUUUGUACCUCCAUAAACAUAUGUAAUGUAAACAUUACUCCCAUUUGAUUUCAAUAAUAAAAAACAAUUUGUCGAUUGACAUUUUUGUCUUAUUCGUUAACAAAAGUGCAAGUCAAUCCUUGACUUUUUGUUUGUGCAAAACUUCAAGUAAUUUAAUGUCAUUUAGCUUACAAAUCUCUGCGAUGUCUGUCAAUGCACUUUCUGUAUCCUUCUAUUCAAGUUUACAGUUAAGAAGUUAAUGAAAUGAAAUGUGUGACUAACAUUUCUAGAAGCUGGACUAGCAUCAUCAGUUUUGUUACCUCCAGCAGUCAAAUAGUUAAAUAAUAUUUCAACCAAAGCGGCAGAGGUGCAAUUCUAUUUCUGAUAGUUAGGAUCUGUACAUUCCAAAUGCAUAUAUGAGCUUGAUUUUUUUCAUUUUUGCUUUUUUUUUUUUUUUAAUAAUACUUACAAGUUUGGUUCAGUUUUGUUUUGUUGGCCACUAAAUUUAUGUAUUGUAUCCCACUUACUUCUUUACAAUUGUUUUCCAACAGUAAAAAUCCCACGUAACACACAGGUCACUUGACAACGAACCUUCACUUAAAAUUAAUGGAAAAAAAGAAUCAAAGUUGUUCAGUUGGACUUUUUAUACAAAUAGACUGAUUUAUAACAUAAUUUUUAAUGUUUUGCUUAUUUUCAGUUUUUUUGUUUGUUUUUUAUUGAGAGUCACGUAACAAUGUAACAAGCAAUAAUGGAUUAGUGUAUUUAAAUAAUAUAAGGUACACUAAAUCUCUAAAACUAGCAUAAAAACAAUCUCCCCAAUUGCAUUUCCUGUGAACUUCAAUAACUAGUGUUAUGUAUGUGUAUGUGUAUACUUGAUUUGAGUUUCUCUUAGGGACACUCAGCCAGUUAAACACUGAGUAAUCUGCAUGCCUAUCUUACUAUGAAGAAUGAGGCAGCUGGCUAGGGAGUCAAUGUGCAGGGGCCAACCUGGUAAUGUUCACAGUGAAAAUGCCAUGAGACAACCCAGAUAAUGACUGUCUAGAUUUUCCUUUAUUGAAUAUAAUGGAUCAAUAAAAGCAGUUUUAUGUAAUAAUGUGUCUAUUUGUUAAUGAAUAGAAAGGUCUCACACAGUCUGGUUGGGUAUGAUUUGAUGAAUACUAAAUAUUUGUUGGUUCUGCUAUCAAUAUCAAGCAAGUGCUAUACUUGACCUUUUUAUAUUAACAUUGAGCUAUUGUGUAAUUUGUCUUGUUCUUCAAGGAAAAUAUUUUCAUUUUCAUUUCUAUUGCCACUAGCAUGCAAGAUACAUAUUUUCAUUAUGAAUUUUUGAAAACAUGUUUUAUUUUUUCAUGGUAUUUAAUAUUUGUGCUCUUCCAAAUUCUGUUAUAUUUUCAUUUUCAUGGCACUUCAACCAGUCUACUUUCCAAUUGACAAACCUUUUAAAAGUUCCUUUUUUACAGAAAUAUUCCAUGAAAUCUUCUGUGAGUACUCCACUGGGAACUGUGGGGACUGGCUACAUGCAAGUUCUGUACAAUUGUUAUAGUCUAUCAGUAGCAGAACAUCAAACUAUAACCAAGGAAGAUUUCCUUCUAAUCACACAUUGAUAUAUAUGUAUAUAUAUAUAUAUAUAUAUAUAUAUAUAUCUAUAUCUCACACACACACACACACACACGCAUGCACAUCUUAUGUAUUGUGGCCUUGGAGCUUCCAAUAUAUUACUGAUUAAACAUGUCUCACAAUGUUAAUUAAAUAUUUUAGACCUGGCUCACAAUGACAUCCUUUCCAGUUGCCAGUAUUCCUCUCUCUUGUGUUACUUUUAUGUAAAUACUUUGCCCAACUGCCCAAAGGAAACUCACAUUGUGAAAAAAAUGAAAAUAAAAUAAAAAUUACAGUACUUCCAAGAUUAAUUAUACAUAAUAAAACCUUAAAAAAGUAUGUUUUGAUUUCUAAAAAUGUACAAAAACAAAUUUGAGGCUCUUAAUUAUUAUCUUUGUUAAUAAUGGACAUGUAUUACUGUGACUCAGAAUAAGAAGAUGGUAUUCACAGAAUACAAUUACCUUUUCACCUCUGUUUUCCUCUUAACCAAUCAGUGCUGCAACAUAUUGUUUAGCAGAAGGAGAGUUAAACUCUCAAGAAAUUCUAAUGCCUUAUACUCAAUGGAUGCAUAUCCACAUUUAGUCUAAUAUUCAUAUUUACAAUUUUAUCAAAAAUAUUAUAUUUACAGUUUUUUUAACUGUGAAAGUUCACGUUGUCUUUUUUCAUGUACAAAAAUACCUAUUUUAUGCUCUUUUUUUUUCUCCUUUUCCUAAUCUGCUUGGUUCCCAGGGAAGCACUUCAGCAAAGUAAUAUUAAACUGUUUUUACAAUACCAACUUUGUUUCUAUAGCAUUGUUAUUCUUUUUAUGUAACCCAAUGGCACCUUAAGAUUGAUUUGACUAAAUAAUUGAUAUAAGGAAUUAAGGUAAAAAAGUAGUUUAGUAAACACAGAUGAUGCAAUUCUUCCUUAGGACUGCUAAAAUGACAAAUAAUUGCACUAAUAUAUUCUCAGUUCAUUGUGUUCUACCAAUGCUAGGUUAACAUUUCAGCCCCCUAAUUAUUAUUAUUAGUAUUUUUUUUAAUUUUUAUUCUUUUAA
This 27365-nucleotide long non-coding RNA is filed under the name Pelobates cultripes (western spadefoot toad). Lineage: Eukaryota; Metazoa; Chordata; Amphibia; Anura; Pelobatidae. The record is from RNAcentral.